RNAcentral lists this unclassified non-coding RNA (864 nucleotides) under Leishmania donovani. RNAcentral describes it as "gene:LdHU3.35.6990(CDS-product:Homeobox_associate d_leucine_zipper_putative)". The record is from RNAcentral. Lineage: Eukaryota; Euglenozoa; Kinetoplastea; Trypanosomatida; Trypanosomatidae.
CUUGCAGAAUUUGUGCACAUCUCAGUCGCCCUCUACCCACCGCCGCGCGUUGUCCUCGCACCACGUACACGUGUGUUUCUCUCCUCUCAAUCCCUGUUGUCUGUCGGUAUUCCACGCCAUGUCGUACCGGUCGAGCGAGGCGAAGAAGGAGGAGUUCCGGAAGUACCUGGAAUCCACGCAGGUAGUCGACGCCCUCACCCGCGUCCUGGUCAACCUGUACGAAGAGGAAGAGAAACCCGAGGACCCAGUGGACUACAUCAAGCGGGUUCUUGGUGGUGCUUCUUCGGCCGACUACGAAGCACUGCAGCAAGAAAACGCGCGUCUCCGCGCAGAGGUGGAAUCGCUGAAGAAGCAACUCAGUGGACAGGCGCAGUAACGUGCCGCCGUGUCAUCCUCUCAAGCGAGGCGUUGUAGCGUCUGUUCGUGCGUGAGCGCCCUCUUUCCCUCUUCUCCAUUUUCCUUCCCCGUGCCCCUCCUGUUCAUCCGUAGGUGACAUGUACAUAAAUUGAAAAGGAAAAAAGGGCACGUCUCUCAAUGGUCCGCGUCACAGAGUGGAUGCAUGCCAUCCCUGUGGUAUAUGCGUGCUGGCUGAUUUUGAACUUCAGCACACGUAGAGACCCUCCGGAGCAGCGUUCCAGGGAGACUCUGCCGCGCCCGGCAUUGUCCUUUUCAUCUGUGGCAGCACAUCCUUCUCUUCGUCGAUUCUUGUGCAGCUGUGGUUGCGAUUUUCGUGAUGCCGUCCGUUCCAAGGUCGUGACCUCUCGUUGCCUCCGCUUGACUCUCUGGGCUUUCGAAUCUCAUCGUCUACCUCUUCUUCUUCGCAUUUCUCGACCGCACACUUUUCCUUGGCCUUGUCGUCUACAG